RNAcentral lists this transfer RNA (76 nucleotides) under Gammaproteobacteria bacterium. Its description in RNAcentral is "tRNA-Arg". It matches the Rfam family "tRNA". From Rfam's summary of the family: Transfer RNA (tRNA) molecules are approximately 80 nucleotides in length. Their secondary structure includes four short double-helical elements and three loops (D, anti-codon, and T loops). Further hydrogen bonds mediate the characteristic L-shaped molecular structure. tRNAs have two regions of fundamental functional importance: the anti-codon, which is responsible for specific mRNA codon recognition, and the 3' end, to which the tRNAs corresponding amino acid is attached (by aminoacyl-tRNA synthetases). tRNAs cope with the degeneracy of the genetic code in two manners: having more than one tRNA (with a specific anti-codon) for a particular amino acid; and 'wobble' base-pairing, i.e. permitting non-standard base-pairing at the 3rd anti-codon position. The record is from RNAcentral. RNAcentral also lists the same sequence under 3 other names. Lineage: Bacteria; Pseudomonadati; Pseudomonadota; Gammaproteobacteria.
GCCCCGGUAGCUCAGGGGAUAGAGCGUCCGCCUCCUAAGCGGAAGGUCCCACGUUCGAAUCGUGGUCGGGGCACCA